This 81-nucleotide transfer RNA is filed under the name Botryococcus braunii. RNAcentral describes it as "tRNA-Leu". It matches the Rfam family "tRNA". Rfam says of the family: Transfer RNA (tRNA) molecules are approximately 80 nucleotides in length. Lineage: Eukaryota; Viridiplantae; Chlorophyta; Trebouxiophyceae. The record is from RNAcentral. RNAcentral also lists the same sequence under 1 other name.
GCCCUUGUGACGGAAUGGCAGACGUGUCGCGUUGAGGUCGCGGUGCCUUUUGGCGUGUCGGUUCAAGUCCGACCAAGGGCA